This 339-nucleotide ribosomal RNA is filed under the name Chandlerella quiscali. RNAcentral describes it as "partial 12S ribosomal RNA". The record is from RNAcentral. Lineage: Eukaryota; Metazoa; Nematoda; Chromadorea; Rhabditida; Onchocercidae.
AAAAUAUUUCAAUUUUUUUUGAUUUAUAAAAGAUGUUAAAAAUUUGGUUUUUGAACUGGAUUAGUACCCAGGUAAUCAAAAUUUAUUAAUUCGGGAGUAAAGUUGUAUUUAAACCGUAAAAAUAUUGGCUGACUUUAAAUUUUUCUUUGGAAUAUGUGAUUGGAGAGCCCUCCUUUUUGGUAGAUUUUUUUGGUACAUGUAUGAUUGUUUAGUUUUUAUUUUAUUUUGUAAUGCUUUUUUUUUAGUAAAAAACAGAUAUAUACUUGGCUUAUGAAUCUAUUUUUCAUGUAUUACUAUUAUUAAUUUUUUUUGGAUAAUAUUUUAAUUUUUAUUUGAAAU